ACUCCUGCGGGAGGCAGCAGUGGGGAAUUUUGGACAAUGGGCGAAAGCCUGAUCCAGCAAUGCCGCGUGAGUGAAGAAGGCCUUCGGGUUGUAAAGCUCUUUUGUCAGGGAAGAAACGGUGAAAGCUAAUAUCUUUUGCUAAUGACGGUACCUGAAGAAUAAGCACCGGCUAACUACGUGCCAGCAGCCGCGGUAAUACGUAGGGUGCAAGCGUUAAUCGGAAUUACUGGGCGUAAAGCGUGCGCAGGCGGUUUUGUAAGUCUGAUGUGAAAUCCCCGGGCUCAACCUGGGAAUUGCAUUGGAGACUGCAAGGCUAGAAUCUGGCAGAGGGGGGUAGAAUUCCACGUGUAGCAGUGAAAUGCGUAGAUAUGUGGAGGAACACCGAUGGCGAAGGCAGCCCCCUGGGUCAAGAUUGACGCUCAUGCACGAAAGCGUGGGGAGCAAACAGGAUUAGAUACCCUGGUAGUCCCAUGA
RNAcentral lists this ribosomal RNA (474 nucleotides) under uncultured organism. RNAcentral describes it as "partial 16S ribosomal RNA". It matches the Rfam family "Bacterial small subunit ribosomal RNA", at positions 335 to 800 of the family's 1533-position model. The record is from RNAcentral.